This 734-nucleotide ribosomal RNA is filed under the name uncultured Enterococcus sp. RNAcentral describes it as "bacterial SSU rRNA". It matches the Rfam family "Bacterial small subunit ribosomal RNA", at positions 28 to 734 of the family's 1533-position model. Lineage: Bacteria; Bacillati; Bacillota; Bacilli; Lactobacillales; Enterococcaceae. The record is from RNAcentral.
GACGAACGCUGGCGGCGUGCCUAAUACAUGCAAGUCGAACGCUUUUUCUUUCACCGGAGCUUGCUCCAUCGAAAGAAAAAGAGUGGCGAGCGGGUGAGUAACACGUGGGUAACCUGCCCAUCAGAAGGGGAUAACACUUGGAAACAGGUGCUAAUACCGUAUAACACUAUUUUCCGCAUGGAAGAAAGUUGAAAGGCGCUUUUGCGUCACUGAUGGAUGGACCCGCGGUGCAUUAGCUAGUUGGUGAGGUAACGGCUCACCAAGGCCACGAUGCAUAGCCGACCUGAGAGGGUGAUCGGCCACACUGGGACUGAGACACGGCCCAGACUCCUACGGGAGGCAGCAGUAGGGAAUCUUCGGCAAUGGACGAAAGUCUGACCGAGCAACGCCGCGUGAGUGAAGAAGGUUUUCGGAUCGUAAAACUCUGUUGUUAGAGAAGAACAAGGAUGAGAGUAGAACGUUCAUCCCUUGACGGUAUCUAACCAGAAAGCCACGGCUAACUACGUGCCAGCAGCCGCGGUAAUACGUAGGUGGCAAGCGUUGUCCGGAUUUAUUGGGCGUAAAGCGAGCGCAGGCGGUUUCUUAAGUCUGAUGUGAAAGCCCCCGGCUCAACCGGGGAGGGUCAUUGGAAACUGGGAGACUUGAGUGCAGAAGAGGAGAGUGGAAUUCCAUGUGUAGCGGUGAAAUGCGUAGAUAUAUGGAGGAACACCAGUGGCGAAGGCGGCUCUCUGGUC